CAGGCUUUGAAAAUGAAGCCAUCGGUCUUGGCUAAGUUUCUGCCAACAGCACAAAUUACACUGUGCAGAGAUCCAAAGCCCCUAAAAAGGUUUCAUUAAUGAACAAUUUCAGACGAUUGUUUAAGUCUUUGCCUGACAGGUAAGGUUGGCAUGUAGGCAGGUGGGGUUAAAGUUUCCAUGGAGAUUUAUGAUGUCAUGCUUGAAAGAGCAUGUCAAGACAGCCAAUUUAACAAGUAGCUACUCAAAUAGUCCUAUAGGCUACAAGUCGGUUUUAUGCAAAUGACAAGAGUUUUACUGGGAAAAACUGCAAAAGAAAACAGUAGAGACAUGGAAGGGGGGUUUACCUGACAGCUCGGAAGGAUGACCCCGGAGUGCAGGAGAGACGAAAACUUCCAGAAGACCAGUUAGAUUUUCUGCCUUAACGGCAGCCUCACCUGUGGC
This 441-nucleotide long non-coding RNA is filed under the name Marmota monax (woodchuck). Lineage: Eukaryota; Metazoa; Chordata; Mammalia; Rodentia; Sciuridae. The record is from RNAcentral.